UUAAUAUAUAAUUAUUUUUCCCACUGUAAAAGUUUUAAAACAUUAAAUUAUAAAGUAAUAGUGAUAGAAACAUGAAUUAUCAGCUUAAGUACUGCAAAGGAAUUUCUAAAUAAUAUUUUAUUAACUAAAAUAGUGUACUUUUUGCAUCACGGUCACGUAAGAAGACUUAAAAAUUUUAAAUCUCGAAAAUCGGUGAGCUAUUUUUUCCUAAUAUAUCAAACUAGGAUGUAGCAAAAUCCAGUUUAAAGGAAAACCUAGAAAUGAGAUUUUAUUCGCACCGACGAUAGCUAGUUCUUCCUAAAAAACUUAAAAGAGUUGGAUUAAUUAUAAAGUUUUGAAACAGCUAGAACUUUAUUAAAAUAAAUCUCAGACUUUAGAGGAUAAGCUCUAAAGUAAGUUAAGGUGAGGCAUUCUAUUUAUAAUAUAUAGGCUUAGAAUUAGCCAAUAUAAAAAUUUGUUAUAAAUUAUUCAAUGAAUAAAUUAAAAAUCGAUGUGCCCCCAACUAAUUAUAUAAGGAAGGUAAUUACUUUAAUUAUUUAGUAAUAUAAUAAUGCUAGAAUGAGUAUUACAACUAUUUCUAAUGAGUAGUAUAUUUAAUACUACUUUGUCAACGAAUAUAAAAUAGAAAAUUAUAGAAAGGAAUUCGGCAAACUUUUGUUUCACCUGUUUAUCAAAAACAUGGCUCUUUGAAUUUUUCACAUAAGGAGUCAAGCCUGCCCGGUGAAUUUUUUUAACGGCCGCGGUAUCCUGACCGUGCAAAGGUAGCAUAAUCAUUUGCCUUAUAAUUGAAGGCUAGUAUGAAUGGCUAGAUGAAAACAAAGCUGUCUCUUUUUAAUUUUUUAGAAUUUAACUUUUUAGUGAAGAGGCUAAAAUAAUUAAAAAGGACAAGAAGACCCUGUCAAGCUUGAAAGAAACCGUGGGCGUUAAUAUAACUUAAAUAAAUAUACCUCUUAGACUUUUUAGUUGGGGCGACUAAGGAACAAAAAAAGCUUCAUUUAAUAACAAAAACUAACACGUUAUGAUCCAGUUAAUAAUGAUCAAAGGAAUUAGCUACUGCAGGGAUAACAGCAUAAUCUUCCUAAAGAGACCUAAUCGAAAGGGGGGUUAUGACCUCGAUGUUGGACUAGAAUAUCCUAAAGAUGCAGAAGUCUUUAAAGGUUA
RNAcentral lists this ribosomal RNA (1161 nucleotides) under Scaliola sp. RNAcentral's name for it is "partial 16S ribosomal RNA". Lineage: Eukaryota; Metazoa; Mollusca; Gastropoda; Scaliolidae. The record is from RNAcentral.